RNAcentral lists this ribosomal RNA (643 nucleotides) under Triticeae environmental sample. Its description in RNAcentral is "eukaryotic LSU rRNA". The stretch from base 224 to 379 matches the Rfam family "5.8S ribosomal RNA". The record is from RNAcentral. Lineage: Eukaryota; Viridiplantae; Streptophyta; Magnoliopsida; Poales; Poaceae.
UGACCCUGACCAAAACAGACUGCGCACGCGUCAUCCAAUCCGUCGGCGACGGCAUCGUCCGUCGCUCGGCCAAUGCCUCGACCACCUCCCCUCCUCGGAGCGGGUGGGGGCUCGGGGUAAAAGAACCCACGGCGCCGAAGGCGUCAAGGAACACUGUGCCUAACCCGGGGGCAUGUCUAGCUUGCUAGCCGUCCCUCGUGUUGCAAAUCUAUUUAAUCCACACGACUCUCGGCAACGGAUAUCUCGGCUCUCGCAUCGAUGAAGAACGUAGCGAAAUGCGAUACCUGGUGUGAAUUGCAGAAUCCCGCGAACCAUCGAGUCUUUGAACGCAAGUUGCGCCCGAGGCCACUCGGCCGAGGGCACGCCUGCCUGGGCGUCACGCCAAAACACGUUCCCAACCACUCUCAACGGGAAUCGGGAUGCGGCAUCUGGUCCCUCGUCUCUCAAGGGACGGUGGACCGAAGAUUGGGCUGCCGGCGUACCGCGCCGGACACAGCGCAUGGUGGGCGUCCUCGCUUUAUCAAUGCAGUGCAUCCGGCGCGCAGCUGGCAUUAUGGCCUUUGAACGACCCAACAAACGAAGCGCAUGUCGCUUCGACCGCGACCCCAGGUCAGGCGGGACUACCCGCUGAGUUUAAGCAUAC